Molecule: ribosomal RNA, 516 nt
Filed under: uncultured bacterium
Lineage: Bacteria
Description: bacterial SSU rRNA
Rfam family: Bacterial small subunit ribosomal RNA
Source: RNAcentral
AACUUAGCAGAGAUGCUUUGGUGCCUUCGGGAACGUCUGAGACAGGUGCUGCAUGGCUGUCGUCAGCUCGUGUUGUGAAAUGUUGGGUUAAGUCCCGCAACGAGCGCAACCCUUAUCCUUUGUUGCCAGCGGCUCGGCCGGGAACUCAAAGGAGACUGCCGGUGAUAAACCGGAGGAAGGUGGGGAUGACGUCAAGUCAUCAUGGCCCUUACGGCCAGGGCUACACACGUGCUACAAUGGCGCAUACAAAGAGAAGCGACCUCGCGAGAGCAAGCGGACCUCACAAAGUGCGUCGUAGUCCGGAUUGGAGUCUGCAACUCGACUCCAUGAAGUCGGAAUCGCUAGUAAUCGUAGAUCAGAAUGCUACGGUGAAUACGUUCCCGGGCCUUGUACACACCGCCCGUCACACCAUGGGAGUGGGUUGCAAAAGAAGUAGGUAGCUUAACCUUCGGGAGGGCGCUUACCACUUUGUGAUUCAUGACUGGGGUGAAGUCGUAACAAGGUAAGCGUAGCGAG